This 117-nucleotide non-coding RNA is filed under the name Pan troglodytes (chimpanzee). The record is from Rfam by way of RNAcentral. Lineage: Eukaryota; Metazoa; Chordata; Mammalia; Primates; Hominidae.
GCUGGGCGUGGUGGUUCACGCCUGUAAUCCCAGCACUUUGGGAGGCGGAGGUGGGUGGAUCACCUGAGGUCAGGAGUUUGAGACCAGCCUGGCCAACAUGGUGAAAUCCCAUCUCUA